This is a non-coding RNA of Neolamprologus brichardi, 1201 nucleotides long. The record is from RefSeq and is a predicted model, not a curated record. NCBI's taxonomy places the organism in Eukaryota, Metazoa, Chordata, Actinopteri, Cichliformes, Cichlidae.
GACUUUUUUGGUUCCAGAACAGCCGAUUAGUGUUACUUUGAUCAGCUCUGAGUUCAAUCACCCUCAGUCCAUGACUCAGUACUCUGACCUGUUUGCUGAGCCAGAAAAGCUGAGAUUCCAUCAUCUGAGGGUUAACAUACUCAGAGGUGAUAACAGUGAUUCCUGGAAGAGGCUGGAGGUACAUUUUCAUCUCAUUUUAGCUAUUUUGCUUUCUUUUUGUAUCUAUUCUAGUUCCAUUUGUUCGAUAAUGUUCUGCAUCUUUUGUAGGCAUCGGGUUUAUUACUCUUUUCUUCUCAAUUAAUAUUUAUUGUAUAGUUAGAUGUUUUGUAUCUGUAUGUAAUAUCUUUCUUUCUGUUGGUUGACAUUUUGCAUCCCUAUGUUACUCAUGGUUAUUAUGCACGUCAUUUAGCAGUCAAUUUAUGUCUUUGUAUAUCUUUUUGUGCCUAUUUUGCAUCCCUUUGUAGUACUUUUGCAUUUUUUGGUAGAUUUUUCUGCAACAGUAGAAGAGCUUUGUCGUCGUCCUGUCUCAUUAUAGCCAUUUUCACUCUUUUUUUGUCAUUUUGAAUCACUUCAUAUCACUUUAUGUGUCUUUCUGUCAUAUUUGCAUCUUACAUUUCUAACUUCCUGCCUCCGUUUGUAGUGUUUUGGUGUCUCUUUUUAGUUAUUUUAACAGUGCUUUGAAUUUUAUUCUCUAUGGUAAUUUGGAACAGUUUUGCAUCAUUUUGUUUUCAUUUCUCCUUUGUAAUGUGUGUGCAUCUUUGGCAAGUCUAAACCACUUUGUAUCUUCUUGGUCAUUUGGUCUGAAUCUGUAGUUGCAUUAUUAUGUAGGUACUUGGCAUUUCUUUAAGGUAAUUUUUCAUCCUCCUAUAGUCCCGUUACAUCUUUACAAUAAUUUUUUAAUAUAUAAUUAUUGUCAUUUGGCAUCCCUCUGUAAUCAUCUGUUAUCUCCUUUGUAGUUAUUUUGUAUCUCAUUUUGAUGUCUAGCUGCUUUAUUUUCUCUCGGCAGUCAUUUCCCAACUGUUUAUAAUUGUUUUGCAUUUCUUUGGAUUAGCUUUGCACCUUAGUGGCCCUCUGUACUUGUUCUGUGUUUUGUAAUCAUUUGGUUAACUUUCCAACAAAAAACCUUGAGUCUAAGCAUAGGCUCUGUGCCUGUCAAGUGCUUGAAGUAAUCCUUAAAAAGUACAGAGUUCUUGUAACAACA